GUAACGCGUAUGCAACCUACCCUUAGCCGGGGAGCAGCCAGGUAAUACUGGAGUAAUGCCCCGUGCGUUCUAUUUGUCGCAUGACAAAUAGAUGAUAGUUUUUAACGGCUAUGGAUGGGCAUGCGUGCCAUUAGCUAGACGGAGAGGUAACGGCUCCCCGUGGCGACGAUGGCUAGGGGCCCUGAGAGGGGUGUCCCCCACACUGGGACUGAGACACGGCCCAGACUCCUACGGGAGGCAGCAGUGAGGAAUAUUGGUCAAUGGGCGGAAGCCUGAACCAGCCAUGCCGCGUGCUGGAUGACGGCCCACAGGGUUGUAAACAGCUUUUACUUGGGAGGAAUAGCGAGCACUAGUGCUUGCAUGCCCGUACCGAGAGAAUAAGGACCGGCUAACUCCGUGCCAGCAGCCGCGGUAAUACGGAGGGUCCUAGCGUUAUCCGGAUUUACUGGGUUUAAAGGGUGCGCAGGCGGGACUUUAAGUUGGUGGUGAAAUCUUGAGGCUUAACCUUGAGCUUGCCAUCAAAACUGGAUUUCUUGAAUAUGGUCGAGGGAGGCGGAAUGCGUGGUGUAGCGGUGAAAUGCAUAGAUAUCACGUGGAAGGCCUAUUGCGAAGGCAGCUUCCCAGCCCAUUAUUGACGCUCAUGCACGAAAGCGUGGGGAUCGAACGGGAUUAGAUACCCCGGUAGUCCACGCAGUAAACGAUGAUCACUGGCUUCUGGCGACACGCUGUCAGAGGCUUCGCGAAAGCAUUAAGUGAUCCACCUGGGGAGUACGGCCGCAAGGCUGAAACUCAAAGGAAUUGACGGGGGCCCGCACAAGCGGAGGAACAUGUGGUUUAAUUCGAUGAUACGCGAGGAACCUUACCUGGGCUCGAACGAUACUUGCUAUUAGGGGAAACCCUAAGUUCUUUCACAAGACGGGUAUCGAGGUGCUGCAUGGUUGUCGUCAGCUCGUGCCGUGAGGUGUAGGGUUAAGUCCCAUAACGAGCGCAACCCUUACUGCUAGUUGCCAUCAAGUAAAGUUGGGGACUCUAGCGGAACUGCCGGCGCAAGCCGUGAGGAAGGUGGGGAUGACGUCAAAUCAGCACGGCCCUUACGUCCAGGGCGACACACGUGUUACAAUGGCCAGUACAGAGGGUAGCCACCCCGUGAGGGGGCGCAGAUCUCUAAAACUGGUCACAGUUCGGAUUGGAGUCUGAAACUCGACUCCAUGAAGUUGGAUUCGCUAGUAAUCGCACAUCAGCCAUGGUGC
Molecule: ribosomal RNA, 1250 nt
Filed under: uncultured Bacteroidota bacterium
Lineage: Bacteria; Pseudomonadati; Bacteroidota
Description: bacterial SSU rRNA
Rfam family: Bacterial small subunit ribosomal RNA
Source: RNAcentral